RNAcentral lists this ribosomal RNA (363 nucleotides) under Ramalina intermedia. RNAcentral's name for it is "SSU rRNA". Lineage: Eukaryota; Fungi; Ascomycota; Lecanoromycetes; Lecanorales; Ramalinaceae. The record is from RNAcentral.
CUAACGGCUGAACCAGCAACUUGGAGGAAUGUAUAGCUACGGCUAAUUGUGUAUAACUACACGAUAUCGACUCUGUCGAAUAAAAUUCUGGGUAAAUUAUGAUGAUGACAUUUUUUACCUAUGUGUCUUGACCAAAUUGUGUGCCAGCAGUCGCGGUAAUACAUAGAAGACUAGUGUUAUUCAUCUUUAAUAGGUUUAAAGGGUACCUAGACGGUAGAUCAAGCCCUAUACGGGACUAAUUUGCUAGAGUUACUUAUGAGGGGGCUUUAAAGUACUAAUGGUGUAGAGAUAAAAUUUUGUAAUACCAUUUUUCGUAAAGAAAAAUUAUGGCACUGGUAAAGGUGAAAGCAUCCCCCUAUGUGA